AAUACGAGCACCGUGGCAUGGCGCAUUGUCUUGUUGGAAGAAGCCAUCUCCAUUGGGAUACGCCAUCAACGUGAUAGGAUGAACGUGAUCAGCAACGAUAGGUAGGUGCGACCGAAGUUGAGACCCACUGCAUACUCGGGGAAGGGAACUUCAGCGACGUGAGCCCCGCCCACUGGCCGUGCCUUCAGAGAAUCCGCCCAGGCUUCUUUAUGGAUUUCUACCUUACCCCGGCUGGUGAAGUGACCCAUCUCUGACAUGUUGCAAUGAUGCACAUGUUACAGAAUGUCUUUACCACAAGGAAUUUCUCCUUUAGCCAGAUUUUCUCUUUGCUGACAUACGUGGGUUUUGACAAACUUCUAUCAAGGGUCAGACAGUACAUAUUUGAGGUUUUAAGGGCCAUGUGGUCGCUGUUGCAACCACUCGACUCUGCCACUGUGGCACUACAGCAGCCCUCGAACAACA
This is a long non-coding RNA of Myotis davidii, 462 nucleotides long. RefSeq lists it as uncharacterized. The transcript has 2 exons. Lineage: Eukaryota; Metazoa; Chordata; Mammalia; Chiroptera; Vespertilionidae. The record is from RefSeq and is a predicted model, not a curated record.